Long non-coding RNA from Capsicum annuum, 1139 nucleotides. RefSeq lists it as uncharacterized. The transcript is spliced from 4 exons. The record is from RefSeq and is a predicted model, not a curated record. Lineage: Eukaryota; Viridiplantae; Streptophyta; Magnoliopsida; Solanales; Solanaceae.
ACCCUUUUCAUUAUAGUACUCAGCAGUUUGUUUGAUUAAAGGAAGACAUAAGAAGUUAAGAGGAAAUCCAAGGAGAGGAAAGAAAUAGAAAAAUAGUAUAAAAGAGAAGAAAUAUAAACUGUUCAUUUUUAUUCCAUUUAGCUCUGAAUUAUGAUGUGAAAGUAAUGAAUAUUAGUUGAUGUCCAUUCUCCAGUGGUUAUUCUGUUGUACUAAUAAUUUGGAAUUAUAAUUGUCAACCAGUUAACAGAUGUUUCAAUGACUCUUACCCUAACAACCACCAAUGACAUGCAAGUGUGAAUAAACAUUUAGACGUCAGUGUACCUUAUGGGUUUGGAGUACUAUAAGAUCAUUUAUUAAUUCUCCCUGCCUCUGUUGCUUGAAUCUGUACGAUCUAGAACAUUGGGGGUAUUAACUCUAGUAUUCUUGGAACUGUUUUUUUAUAAUUACAUUGUAUGCAGGUCAUUGUUACAUAAAAAAUUAUAUAUUGUAUGCAGUUUGUCAGACAACAACACUUGAUUUCUUCGCAAAAUAUCAGUUUCAUUUCAAUCUGUGCGUACGUGAGGAAUAAAAUAGCAAAAUUUGGAGAAACAAAUACGCAGAGUAGUUGGCCAGUCACAAAUUUCUAAAGCAAAAAUAUUGCAGGAGUUUAAAAGGUGACAGAACCUACAGAUUUUACCGAGUUAACAAACAAAGAAUCAUGACUCUAAUCAACAAAGCUGGCUGUAAAACCAGAAAUGUUGUUUGGGAAGCGUGGAAAGAGUGGCUAGGUAGCUUUGAAUCUGGAUCUAGCAAGAGUUGUAUGGUUUGUAAAAAUACAAAUUAGCUAUUCAGAAUGUGGAGGCAUUGAAAUUGAAGAGAGCUGGGACAAGAUAGAAUAUUGAUUCUAGAAUACAAUCCUAUGCUACUCAAUAUGGAAGAGUCUACUUGUGUGCUGUAACUGAGAAACUACUGUUAAUGGACUGUGAUUAUGGAAUGACACCUUAAUCUGGUCCAAGAUUUGCAAAACAAAUCAGUAGGCAGGUAAAAGAAUGUCACUUUAGUUUUUCCAACAAUCUUUCACUACCUUCUCAAUUCAAUUAUGAAGUAUAGCGUUGUAAUUUGUAUAUCAAUGUGUUGUUUUUGUUCCUAUCUGUUUAUCA